GUGUGGAAGUAAAAAGUCGUAACAAGGUUUCCGUAGGUGA
Molecule: ribosomal RNA, 40 nt
Filed under: Dactylella alba
Lineage: Eukaryota; Fungi; Ascomycota; Orbiliomycetes; Orbiliales; Orbiliaceae
Description: partial 18S ribosomal RNA
Source: RNAcentral